This is a long non-coding RNA of Brassica napus (rape), 885 nucleotides long. RefSeq lists it as uncharacterized. Lineage: Eukaryota; Viridiplantae; Streptophyta; Magnoliopsida; Brassicales; Brassicaceae. The record is from RefSeq and is a predicted model, not a curated record. The transcript has 2 exons.
UAUUAAUAUUUUUAUGAAUUAUUAAGAUUUGCUUGAAAUGUUAUAUAUUUGAUAGAUUAUGACUUUUUAUAGAGUAGAUUUUUAGUAUCUCUAUUUUGAUAGAGUAAGAUAUUCAUUAACUGUUUUAGGAUUAUUUGGAAACUCAUACUCCCUCCGUUUCAUAUUAGUUGUCAUUUUAGAGUUAAAAUUUUGUUUAAUUUUAAUUGAUGUUUUAUGUUUUCAAUGAAAAUUUUACUAACAAUAUUCUCCAUUUUAUUUUUCUAUUGGUUGAAAUAUUGUUAGCUGUAUAGGUAAUGAUGUUUUUAUUUUAGAAAUAUGCAAAAUUAAAUAUUUUCUUAAUUUGUGUGUAUAAAUCUAAAACGGCAACUAAAGUGAAACGGAGAGAGUAUUGUGGAAAGAAUAUUUUUAUUGACCAAGACAUUAAGAAAAUAAUUUGAUUAUUUUGUAAUUAUAUUGUCAAUGUAUUUACUUGUCUUUAACCUGCACUAAUCACGUUGUAUAAAUAGAUGCUACACCCUAUGAAUCCAUAAUCAUCUCCAUUAAACAGAUAAGUAGGACAAUAUAUAAAAAAAUAAAUGGAGAAAAUCUCAGCAUUUCUUGUCAUCCUCUUCCUGGUCUCGUCAUGCAUGGUGAAAGUGACUGUGACAAUGCCUGCUAUAAAAUGUCAAACAGAUGAAGAUUGUGUGAAGAAAUAUGGAAGAUGUAAAGUCACAGGGGAUCUGCCAAUUUGCCUCCAUUACUAUUGUAGCUGUUACCAUGAAAUGCAUACUCCUUCAUUGACAACCUCCAACUCUUGAUGUUAUUCAUAUGUUUAUAUAUAUAUUCAUGUUGAUUUGAAUAAUGAAAAGGCUAUAUAUAUAUAUAUAUAUAACUCUUUUGUUGUUA